Astatotilapia calliptera (eastern happy) is the source of this 146-nucleotide small nuclear RNA. Its record names the gene U1. It matches the Rfam family "U1 spliceosomal RNA". Rfam says of the family: U1 is a small nuclear RNA (snRNA) component of the spliceosome (involved in pre-mRNA splicing). Its 5' end forms complementary base pairs with the 5' splice junction, thus defining the 5' donor site of an intron. There are significant differences in sequence and secondary structure between metazoan and yeast U1 snRNAs, the latter being much longer (568 nucleotides as compared to 164 nucleotides in human). NCBI's taxonomy places the organism in Eukaryota, Metazoa, Chordata, Actinopteri, Cichliformes, Cichlidae. The record is from Ensembl.
AUACUUACCUGGCAGGGGAGAUACCAUGAUCACGAAGGUGGCUCACCCAGCACUGCGGUUGUGCUAACCCCUGUGAAUUCCCCAAAUGCGGGAAUCUCAACUGCAUAAUUUGUGGUAGUGGAGGACUGCGUUCGCGCUCUCCCCUC